RNAcentral lists this ribosomal RNA (253 nucleotides) under uncultured bacterium. RNAcentral's name for it is "partial 16S ribosomal RNA". It matches the Rfam family "Bacterial small subunit ribosomal RNA", at positions 524 to 776 of the family's 1533-position model. The record is from RNAcentral.
UACGUAGGGGGCUAGCGUUGUCCGGAAUCAUUGGGCGUAAAGAGCGCGUAGGCGGCCAGAUAAGUCCGGUGUGAAAGUCACAGGCUCAACCUGUGAAUGCCGCUGGAAACUGUCUGGCUUGAGUCCGGGAGGGGCGAGUGGAAUUCCUGGUGUAGCGGUGGAAUGCGCAGAUAUCAGGAGGAACACCAAUAGCGAAGGCAGCUCGCUGGGACGGUACUGACGCUGAGGAGCGAAAGCCAGGGGAGCAAACGGG